RNAcentral lists this ribosomal RNA (666 nucleotides) under Sutcliffiella cohnii. Its description in RNAcentral is "bacterial SSU rRNA". It matches the Rfam family "Bacterial small subunit ribosomal RNA", at positions 69 to 714 of the family's 1533-position model. The record is from RNAcentral. Lineage: Bacteria; Bacillati; Bacillota; Bacilli; Caryophanales; Bacillaceae.
ACUUCUUUAGAGCUUGCUUUAAAGAAGUUAGCGGCGGACGGGUGAGUAACACGUGGGCAACCUGCCUGUAAGACUGGGAUAACUUCGGGAAACCGGAGCUAAUACCGGAUAAUAUAUAGUACCUCCUGGUACUAUAUUGAAAGUUGGUUUCGGCUAACACUUACAGAUGGGCCCGCGGCGCAUUAGCUAGUUGGUGAGGUAACGGCUCACCAAGGCAACGAUGCGUAGCCGACCUGAGAGGGUGAUCGGCCACACUGGGACUGAGACACGGCCCAGACUCCUACGGGAGGCAGCAGUAGGGAAUCUUCCACAAUGGACGAAAGUCUGAUGGAGCAACGCCGCGUGAGCGAUGAAGGCCUUCGGGUCGUAAAGCUCUGUUGUUAGGGAAGAACAAGUGCGAGAGUAACUGCUCGCACCUUGACGGUACCUAACCAGAAAGCCACGGCUAACUACGUGCCAGCAGCCGCGGUAAUACGUAGGUGGCAAGCGUUGUCCGGAAUUAUUGGGCGUAAAGCGCGCGCAGGCGGUUUCUUAAGUCUGAUGUGAAAGCCCACGGCUCAACCGUGGAGGGUCAUUGGAAACUGGGAGACUUGAGUGCAGAAGAGGAGGAGUGGAAUUCCACGUGUAGGCGGUGAAAUGCGUAGAGAUGUGGAAGGAACACCAGUG